AAAAGCGAAUAAGGGCGCACGGAGGAUGCCUAGACAACAAGAGCCGAAGAAGGACGUGAUAAGCUGCGAAAAGCUAGGACGAGUUGCACAUUAGCGUUGACUCCUAGAUAUCCGAAUGGGAAAACCUAUAUACUUGAAGAGUAUAUACGAAAGAGGUAAGUGGGCGAACUGAAACAUCUAAGUAGCCUGAGGAAAAUAAAGUAAAAACGAUUCUCUAAGUAGCGGCGAGCGAACGGGGAAGAGCCUAAACCAUGGUAGUGUUAAAGUUGGCACGUUGCUAUUAUGGGGUAGAGGGAUAGUUGAUUGACGGAUAGCCAUGAAGUCGACAAAUUAAAUGACGUAAGAGGAACACAACUGGAAAGUUGGACCGAAGAAGGUGAUAGUCCUGUAGAUUGUAAAAUCAUUUAAAUGUUUUAACUAAUCCCGAGUAGUAUCGGACACGAGGAAUCCGGUGUGAAUCAGCGAGGACCAUAUCUCGUAAGGCUAAAUACUCUUGUUGAUCGAUAGAGAAUAGUACCGUGAGGGAAAGGUGAAAAGAACCCUGAGUAAGGGAGUGAAAUAGAACCUGAAACCGUGUGCUUACAAACGGUAGGAGCCCUUAGGGGUGACUGCGUGGAUUUUGGUUAAUCAUCCUGCGAGUUAUGAUGUGUGGCAAGGUUAAGUAAACGGAGCCGAAGGGAAACCGAGUCUUAAUAGGGCGAUAAGUCGCAUGUCAUAGACGCGAAACCUAGUGAUCUAGGCCUGUCCAGGUUGAAGCUGGGGUAAGACCCAGUGGAGGACCGAACUCACCACCGUUGAAAAGUUGGGAGAUGAGAUAGGUUUAGGGGUGAAAAGCCAAUCGAACUAGGAGAUAGCUCGUUCUCUCCGAAAUGCAUUUAGGUGCAGCCUUAAUAAAGAUAUAUGGGGGUAGAGCUCUGUAUGGCCUAGGGGGCGUAUAGCUUACCGAAGUCAAGCAAACUGCGAAUACCAUAUAUUAAUUAUUAGGAGUGAGUCCAUGGAUGACAAGGUCCAUGGACGAGAGGGAAACAGCCCAGACCAUCAGCUAAGGUCCCAAAUUAUGUCUAAGUGGGGAAGGAGGUGGAUACUCACAAACAACCAGGAGGUUGGCUUAGAAGCAGCCAUACCUUUAAAGAGUGCGUAAUAGCUCACUGGUCGAGAGUAUCUGCGCCGAAGAUUUAACGGGGCUAAGACAUAAACCGAAGCUAUGGAAACUAGAUUUUAUCUAGUUUGGUAGGAGAGCGUUCUGUAAGCCGUAGAAGGUGUACUGUAAGGUAUAUUGGAGGUAUCAGAAGUGAGAAUGCAGGAAUGAGUAGCGAGAAAGAGAGUGAGAAUCUCUCUGGCCGAAAGUCCAAGGUUUCCAGAGGAAGGUUUGUCCGCUCUGGGGGAGUCGGGACCUAAGUCGAGGCUUAAAAGCGUAGGCGAAUGGAAAAUAGGUUAAUAUUCCUAUACCACUAUAUAAACGUUAUUAGAGAUGGAGUGACGCAGGAAGGUAUGUGAGAAGGGCGACGGUUGUCCCUUUCUAAGGAAGUAGUGUGAACAUGGAGGCAAAUCCACAUGUUUAAACAUGAGAUCUUAUGGGUAAGUAGCUUAGGCUAUAAGUCACAAAUCCUAUACUGCCGAGAAAAACUUCUAUUGAGAUUAUGUAGUGCCCGUACUGUAAACCGACACAGGUGGACUGGGUGAGUAACCCGAGGCCGACAGGAUAACUCUAGCUAAGGAACUCUGCAAAAUGGCCCCGUAACUUCGGGAGAAGGGGUACCUAUGUUAUGUGAUAAGAUAAACACUUUGAGCAGAAAUAGGUCGCAGUGAAGAGUCCCAAGCAACUGUUUACCAAAAACACAGGUCUAUGCUAAGCUGAAAGGCGACGUAUAUGGGCUGACACCUGCCCAGUGCUGGAAGGUUAAGAGGAGGAUUGAGAGAUUCGAAUUGAAGCCCCAGUGAACGGCGGCCGUAACUAUAACGGUCCUAAGGUAGCGAAAUUCCUUGUCGGG
This 1991-nucleotide ribosomal RNA is filed under the name activated sludge metagenome. RNAcentral's name for it is "bacterial LSU rRNA". It matches the Rfam family "Bacterial large subunit ribosomal RNA", at positions 1 to 1976 of the family's 2925-position model. The record is from RNAcentral.